This 421-nucleotide ribosomal RNA is filed under the name uncultured bacterium. RNAcentral's name for it is "bacterial SSU rRNA". It matches the Rfam family "Bacterial small subunit ribosomal RNA", at positions 335 to 743 of the family's 1533-position model. The record is from RNAcentral.
ACUCCUACGGGAGGCAGCAGUGGGGAAUAUUGGACAAUGGGGGAAACCCUGAUCCAGCCAUGCCGCGUGCUGUGAAGAAGGCCUUCGGGUUGUAAAGACACUUUCAGUGGGGAGGAAAGGUUGAAUGGUUAAAUACCUAUCAGACUGUGACGUUACCUACAGAAGAAGCACCGGCUAACUCCGUGCCAGCAGCCGCGGUAAUACGGAGGGUGCAAGCGUUAAUCGGAAUUACUGGGCGUAAAGCGCAUGCAGGCGGCCUGUUAAGUCAGAUUGUGAAAGCCCGGGGCUUAACCUCGGAAUUGCAUUUGAAACUGGCAGGCUAGAGUCUUGUAGAGGGGGUAGAAUUUCAGUGUAGCGGUGAAAUGCGUAGAGAUCUGAAGGAAUACCAGUGGCGAAGGCGGCCCCCCUGGACAAAGACUGA